UUCCUGCUGGUUUGAAAACAACAGCUAUGAUGAGUGAUGUCAGCUUUUUUUCUACAAUGAGAAUGUACUGCAAUCUACAGUCAGUAUUGGAACAAGAAGCAACACUACUGUCCUAAAGCCAGUUUUCUCUGAAGUAAAUUCCAGGGUCACUGACAAACUGAUCUCAGUCUUUAAUAUCCAUAAUUCCAACUUAGUAGAAACACAUAUAUAGUGAGCCGUAUUAGAAGACUACCUGCCCAGUUAAGGUUGCAAGCCAGAAGACUGUCCAUCAUUUCAGUGUCUAUGACAAGAAGUGCAUUCCAACACCCAGAUCCUUGAAGUCUUGGCCUUGCUCUGUCAACAUACUUCUUUUGAAGCCAUCAUCAAUUUAUGACAGUAACAUGUCAGUAUUCCACUUUGAUGUCUCUGCCAGGCUGCACAGCUGGCAGUUUACUCCAUAUUCUUGUUUUAAGCCUGCUUAGAAAGGUACAAGGAGAUUCUCACAUUUCCAGAAGAAGACUGCACAAAUGUGUGACAAGUAUGGGGGUAAUCACUGGCAAGUCUCAGAACCCUCAAGGACAGUAUUUGCUGUUUCUGAUCACACUGAGCUGAUUCCAGUAGCCUGAUUCUACCACAGAAUCAUCUAGGUAGGAAGGGGCCUCUUAGCUCAUUGAGUGCAAUA
Long non-coding RNA from Ficedula albicollis (Collared flycatcher), 661 nucleotides. RefSeq lists it as uncharacterized. NCBI's taxonomy places the organism in Eukaryota, Metazoa, Chordata, Aves, Passeriformes, Muscicapidae. The record is from RefSeq and is a predicted model, not a curated record. The transcript has 3 exons.